AUAAAAUUUUAUAUUAGACGUUUGAAUUUAAGUCGAAGUUUUGAUAAUCUUAAAUGUAACCCCUAAAAUACAGUCGAUAGUAUUUGAUGAAACAACUCCCUCAUUAAAAAUCGAUUACUUUUAUAAAAUAGCUGUAAAAUAAAUGGCAACCCAAACGAAACAAAAAAUAUCUAUCCCCCGAAACAUAUUACAUAUACUCCACAUCUUUCAUAUAUGUUUGUUUAUCGGUAUGUCUUUAAUAUUAUCUCUUCUUACCCCAAA
Arabidopsis thaliana (thale cress) is the source of this 261-nucleotide long non-coding RNA. RefSeq annotates it as other RNA. The record is from RefSeq. Lineage: Eukaryota; Viridiplantae; Streptophyta; Magnoliopsida; Brassicales; Brassicaceae. The transcript has a single exon.